CCCCUAGAUGUUCUGGGCCGCACGCGCGCUACACUGAACAGUUCAACAAGUCUUAACCUUGGCCGAUAGGUCUGGGUAAUCUUUGAACGCUGUUCGUGAUUGGGAUAGACCUUUGCAAUUAUGGGUCUUCAACGAGGAAUUCCUAGUAAACGCAAGUCAUCAGCUUGCAUUGAUUACGUCCCUGCCCUUUGUACACACCGCCCGUCGCACCUACCGAUUGAAUGGUCCGGUGAAAUUCUCGGACGACACUUGGGAAUGUUUACUCGGACCCGAGUGUUGGAAGUUAAUUAAACCUUACCAUUUAGAGGAAGGUGAAGUCGUAACA
Molecule: ribosomal RNA, 325 nt
Filed under: uncultured eukaryote
Lineage: Eukaryota
Description: partial 18S ribosomal RNA
Rfam family: Eukaryotic small subunit ribosomal RNA
Source: RNAcentral